Molecule: ribosomal RNA, 460 nt
Filed under: uncultured bacterium
Lineage: Bacteria
Description: partial 16S ribosomal RNA
Rfam family: Bacterial small subunit ribosomal RNA
Source: RNAcentral
CCUACGGGUGGCAGCAGUGAGGAAUAUUGGUCAAUGGACGAGAGUCUGAACCAGCCAAGUAGCGUGAAGGAUGACUGCCCUAUGGGUUGUAAACUUCUUUUAUAUGGGAAUAAAAUGUUCCACGUGUGGGCUUUUGUAUGUACCAUAUGAAUAAGGAUCGGCUAACUCCGUGCCAGCAGCCGCGGUAAUACGGAGGAUCCGAGCGUUAUCCGGAUUUAUUGGGUUUAAAGGGAGCGUAGGUGGAUUGUUAAGUCAGUUGUGAAAGGUUGCGGCUCAACCGUAAAAUUGCAGUUGAAACUGGCAGUCUAGAGUACAGUAGAGGUAGGCGGAAUUCGUGGUGUAGCGGUGAAAUGCUUAGAUAUCACGAAGAACUCCGAUUGCGAAGGCAGUUCACUGGACUGCAACUGACGCUGAGGCUCGAAAGUGUGGGUAGCAAACAGGAUUAGAUACCCUUGUAGUC